GUGUGUGACGGUAUGUGUGCAGAAGGACCUCAUCCCACAGGAGGCGUCUACGCAAGAGGGAGCGCUACAGGCAGCCUACUGCAGCCUGCUCCAGGGCCUGUCUCUGGAGCUUCCACCUACAGCAGGCAGUGAAAGGCAGAGCGUGUUGGAGUUCUUCAGACUGGCAGAGUCUGACCCACCAGUGGAGGACUGUGUAACAACAGCAGAGGGAAAGCACAGGUGCACUCUGGGAAUCGUAGGCGAGCUCACGUUCCACAGCCCAGAGGCGGCCCCUAAAAAGCAGCAGGCAGAGCAUUGGGCAGCUAAGGAGGCCCUGAGGCGCCUGAGUGGAAUCCUGAGUGGGG
This is a long non-coding RNA of Coregonus clupeaformis (lake whitefish), 344 nucleotides long. RefSeq lists it as uncharacterized. The transcript has 3 exons. Lineage: Eukaryota; Metazoa; Chordata; Actinopteri; Salmoniformes; Salmonidae. The record is from RefSeq and is a predicted model, not a curated record.